GAGGGUAUAGCUCAGUGGUAGAGCGCACACAUAGCAUGUACAUCCUGGGUUCAAUCUCCAGUACCUCCA
RNAcentral lists this transfer RNA (69 nucleotides) under Camelus bactrianus (Bactrian camel). It matches the Rfam family "tRNA". Rfam says of the family: Transfer RNA (tRNA) molecules are approximately 80 nucleotides in length. The record is from Rfam by way of RNAcentral. RNAcentral also lists the same sequence under 2 other names. Lineage: Eukaryota; Metazoa; Chordata; Mammalia; Artiodactyla; Camelidae.